Molecule: ribosomal RNA, 1302 nt
Filed under: metagenome
Description: bacterial LSU rRNA
Rfam family: Bacterial large subunit ribosomal RNA
Source: RNAcentral
CACACACGACCGUACCGCAAACCGACACUGGUGCGCGAGAUGAGUAUUCUAAGGCGCUUGAGAGAACUCAGGAGAAGGAACUCGGCAAAUUGACACCGUAACUUCGGAAGAAGGUGUGCCUUUAGUAGGUGAACCUGUACAAGGGGAGCCCAAUGAGGUUGCAAAAAAUCGGUGGCUGCGACUGUUUAAUAAAAACACAGCACUCUGCAAACACGAAAGUGGACGUAUAGGGUGUGACGCCUGCCCGGUGCUGGAAGAUUAAAUGAUGGGGUGCAAGCUCUUGAUUGAAGUCCCAGUAAACGGCGGCCGUAACAAUAACGGUCCUAAGGUAGCGAAAUUCCUUGUCGGGUAAGUUCCGACCUGCACGAAUGGCGUAACGAUGGCCACACUGUCUCCUCCUGAGACUCAGCGAAGUUGAAAUGUUUGUGAUGAUGCAAUCUCCCCGCGGAAAGACGGAAAGACCCCAUGAACCUUUACUGUAGCUUUGUAUUGGACUUUGAACAGAUCUGUGUAGGAUAGGUGGGAGGCUUUGAAGUGUGGUCGCUAGAUCGCAUGGAGCCAACGUUGAAAUACCACCCUGGUGUGUUUGAGGUUCUAACCUAGGCCCGUAAUCCGGUCGGGGACAGUGCAUGGUAGGCAGUUUGACUGGGGCGGUCUCCUCCCAAAGCGUAACGGAGGAGUUCGAAGGUACGCUAGGUACGGUCGGACAUCGUGCUAAUAGUGCAAUGGCAUAAGCGUGCUUAACUGCGAGACUGACAAGUCGAGCAGAUGCGAAAGCAGGACAUAGUGAUCCGGUGGUUCUGUAUGGAAGGGCCAUCGCUCAACGGAUAAAAGGUACUCUGGGGAUAACAGGCUGAUACCGCCCAAGAGUUCAUAUCGACGGCGGUGUUUGGCACCUCGAUGUCGGCUCAUCUCAUCCUGGGGCUGUAGCCGGUCCCAAGGGUAUGGCUGUUCGCCAUUUAAAGAGGUACGUGAGCUGGGUUUUUAAACGUCGUGAGACAGUUUGGUCCCUAUCUUCCGUGGGCGCUGCAGAUUUGAGGAAGCCUGCUCCUAGUACGAGAGGACCGGAGUGGACACACCUCUGGUGUAUCGGUUGUCACGCCAGUGGCAUUGCCGAGUAGCUAUGUGUGGAAGAGAUAACCGCUGAAAGCAUCUAAGCGGGAAACUCGUUUCAAGAUGAGAUCUGCCGGGGCCUUGAGCCCCCUAAAGAGUCGUUCAAGACCAGGACGUUGAUAGGUCGGGUGUGGAAGCGCAGUAAUGCGUUAAGCUAACCGAUACUAAUUGCUCGUGCGGCUUGACCAU